Molecule: long non-coding RNA, 321 nt
Filed under: Panax ginseng (ginseng)
Lineage: Eukaryota; Viridiplantae; Streptophyta; Magnoliopsida; Apiales; Araliaceae
Description: long non-coding RNA (PGIN_LNC013063)
Source: RNAcentral
UGGGCCCAUUUCUUGACUGAAAUUUGAUUAUAGCUUGAAAAAUCGUCCAUUUAUGGAUUUCGGUCAAUUUCUGUUUGGAAUUUGGAAAAACUUUCUUCUGCAAAGUUGUAGAAAAUUGAAUUUCCUAUAAAAAUUUGCGAGAUUCGAAUUUUCUGAUAAAAGAGCUAUUUAUUAUAAAUUAUUGAAGUUCUGAGGUUCCAGAAUAAUUGAUUUUUGGAAGUUUAAAAUAUUUAUAGUUAGAAAAACGUUUUUAUUGUUUUGGUUGGCCCCCCAUGUGUUGCAAAUGGCUGAAAUUAGAUUUUCAAAGUAGGCGUAGGAUUU